RNAcentral lists this non-coding RNA (153 nucleotides) under human gut metagenome. The record is from RNAcentral.
CAUACGAGACGGUGAAAAGGAAACACGGUGCAAAUCCGCGACAAUACCCGAUUACUGUGAGGGCGACGAAAGCGCCAAUACGUCAUUGAUCCCAAAGAUCGAGAAGACGGCGCGAGUAGGAUGAACCUAAGCCAGGAGACCUGCCUUGAGUUG